ACGCCAAGGAUGACGUCGAUUAAAAAAUGAGUUUCUACGUUUAAUUAGAAUCAAGAAAAUGGCUGCAUUUAUUUACUGUCUGAUAUGGCGCCGCACCUCAACUUUAGCAUAGCCUAUGAAGAAGCGUCAUGUUCCUGCAAUCUAAAAAGUACCGAGCCGAAACAUUUUCUCCGAACAUCCCCCUAAGAAACUCAGGGGCAAGGUGUACUGGAUAUUUACCCUUUACCCAAAGAAUGCCUUCCACCAGGAGGAAAGAGCAAGAGUGGUAGACGAUAUCUUAGAGACGCCUAUUAUUCCCUCUGACGAUGAGAAGCUGCAAUAUGGGGUGUAUUUGAAAGAGUUUACAAAGAAGACGGAAAAGAUGCAAUCCCAUGCGAAAAAAGUCGUAAAGGUGUACCGAGCAAUAGCUAACAAACUUGAUCAAGCAUGAUGGGACCGCCGCCUGGUUAGCUCAAUUGGGAGAGCGCCGGACUGCUGUG
Molecule: long non-coding RNA, 479 nt
Organism: Stylophora pistillata
Lineage: Eukaryota; Metazoa; Cnidaria; Anthozoa; Scleractinia; Pocilloporidae
Source: RefSeq, a predicted model, not a curated record